AUCCAGCUGACGAGUCCCAAAUAGGACGAAACGCGCGCCGUGGCUGGAU
Non-coding RNA from Schistosoma rodhaini, 49 nucleotides. The record is from Rfam. NCBI's taxonomy places the organism in Eukaryota, Metazoa, Platyhelminthes, Trematoda, Strigeidida, Schistosomatidae.